GCGGACAGAUGGGAGCUUGCUCCCUGAUGUUAGCGGCGGACGGGUGAGUAACACGUGGGUAACCUGCCUGUAAGACUGGGAUAACUCCGGGAAACCGGGGCUAAUACCGGAUGGUUGUUUGAACCGCAUGGUUCAGACAUAAAAGGUGGCUUCGGCUACCACUUACAGAUGGACCCGCGGCGCAUUAGCUAGUUGGUGAGGUAACGGCUCACCAAGGCAACGAUGCGUAGCCGACCUGAGAGGGUGAUCGGCCACACUGGGACUGAGACACGGCCCAGACUCCUACGGGAGGCAGCAGUAGGGAAUCUUCCGCAAUGGACGAAAGUCUGACGGAGCAACGCCGCGUGAGUGAUGAAGGUUUUCGGAUCGUAAAGCUCUGUUGUUAGGGAAGAACAAGUGCCGUUCAAAUAGGGCGGCACCUUGACGGUACCUAACCAGAAAGCCACGGCUAACUACGUGCCAGCAGCCGCGGUAAUACGUAGGUGGCAAGCGUUGUCCGGAAUUAUUGGGCGUAAAGGGCUCGCAGGCGGUUUCUUAAGUCUGAUGUGAAAGCCCCCGGCUCAACCGGGGAGGGUCAUUGG
Molecule: ribosomal RNA, 581 nt
Filed under: Bacillus velezensis
Lineage: Bacteria; Bacillati; Bacillota; Bacilli; Caryophanales; Bacillaceae
Description: bacterial SSU rRNA
Rfam family: Bacterial small subunit ribosomal RNA
Source: RNAcentral